GGUAAGGGGUAAUUCGCCGAGGGGCGCGGACCAGACCGACCUCGGGUCGGGCCCGGGAACCCCGAGAGGAGAGCCCAGCCCCUGGUGGAGGCGGCUUGGCGGAGAUUCGGAGCCGUCAGCAGCUCAGCCCGACGCCCAGGAUCCCACCCCUUGCAAAAGACCAGGCCGUGGAAGCCAUGUUCCCACCAGCCAGGGGGAAGGUGCAGGAAUGCAGAUGGCUGAGUAGGUCAGAUUGAGGACAUGGCAGCGCAGCUCUGGUAAAAGAGUGACACUCUGGAUAAUGGUGAGAAAGGGCCUGCAACCGUAGCAGUGGAAUUCAAGUUUGAUAGGCAGGAAAGAAAGUCCGUAUAAUUUGGGAGGUUCUGGUGUCUGCCUGCAGAGGGGAGCUAUGUGAAGCUUCUCAGGAUGGUGUCAGGAUGGGGGUGGGCAUUUCCUGUUACUGACCACUUAUAGGACAGCGAACGUUUGCCCUUUCCCUGCACACAUCCCCUCUGAACCCAUGCAGUGUCUUGUGAGAGCAGGGAGUGUGUAGACAGCCGCUGGGCCCCUUUGCCCCGAGGGCUGCAGUGGUGUGGGAGGGACAGUGUGGCAGCUUCAGUGCUCAGCCCACUGGAGCGGGCAGUCACUUGCAGAUGUAAUGUCCCUGUGCUCACUGUGCUGUGUCCACUGUUGCCCACUCUGGAUAUGCUCCCCAGGCAUCUGCGCCUUGGUCUGUACCUUUUAUAUUCUCCAGCAACGGGCUCCCCUGGUCUCCGGCAUCUGCUUGGCUUGUGGCAAUGGGAUGAAGAGGGUUGGAGGACGGGGGACAGGGCGCCGGAGGCCUGGGGAAAACAGGUUGGGUUUCUCUUCCCACGGCUCCCUCCCCACUGGGCUGUGGGAUGGGUGUGGCUGCAGCCUGUUCGGUCGUAGCUGCAGUCUUGCUCCCCUUCCAGCAGCCUUCUGGGCUCCAGCAGCCCUCCCCACCUUACCCCUUCAGACCUAGCAGGCCCUGGUUCCCCAGGGUGGCCAGGACCUGCGAGCUUCCACAUUUCUUGUUCAUGUUCAUUGAGACUGUUCAUCCCUUUGUAAAUAGUCUGCACAUUAACCAACCCCCCAGUGACCUCAUCUCUUUCCUAAGGAACCUGGGGCAGAAGCAAUAGGUUAUUUUUAUAGAGCAGCGGUCAGCAAACUGCCCUGAACCGCUUGGUAAAGUUUCCCUGAAACACAGCUGUGCCCAUUCGCUUACUUGUCCACGGCUGCUUUUGUGCUCCAACACAAAGGCUGUUCCUCAGAUUGUUGAUUUGAGGAACUGGAACAGAGACCAGAGGGCCUGAAAAGCCUAAAAUAUUUACCAUCUGGCCCUUUAGAGAUUAAUUGUAUCGACCCCGUGGCAUGGAAGCCAGCACAUGUCUGGCCUGAGGGCCAUCAGGCCUGAAAGGAGCCCUGAAUAUAUUCCUUAUGAACUGGGUGCCCUUGGCCCACACUCUUUACCUCCCAAACCUCGGUUUCCUCAGCCGUGGAAUAAUCAUUGCGCGUAAGUUAUUUUAAGAAUUGCAGUUACCUUUAUCAGCUACUUUUCCAGGAGCUGCUCUCGUUUGAGGAUGUGGCGAUGUACUUCACCAGAGAGGAGUGGGGCCACCUCAGCUGGGGUCAGAAGGACCUCUACCGAGAUGUGAUGUUGGAGAACUACAGGAACAUGGUCUUGCUGGGUAGGACACGGCUUGAAGAUUGGGCUUUGUCUGUGUUCUGAGUGUCUGUGCAAGCCCUUAGUCCCUUAUCUGCAAUUCCAGAAUCAGAAAAAGCGGUGAAAACCGAAAGUUUUUUUCAUAACUCGUGUGGCUACAAGCCCUGACCAGACAUCACCACAGUGAAACCUGACUUCAUCCUAUAGGAAACCAUUUAUUGUCUUUAUUUUUCCAACUGGUGUGCAUAUCUGUAUACCCAACUUCAGAAAUAACAGCGUAGGUCAGGUGCGGUGGCUCACACCUGUAAUCCCAGCACUUUGGGAAUCCGAGGCAGGUGGAUGACAUGAGGUCAGUAGUUCGAGACCAGCCUGGCCAAUAUGGUGAAACCCAUCUCUACUUAAGAUGCGAAAAUUAGCCUGGUGUGGUGGUGCACACUUGUAGUCCCAGUUACUUGGGAGGCUGAGGCAGAGGAUCGCUUGAACCUGGGAGGCAGAGGUUGCAUUGAGCCGAGAUCAUGCCGCUGCAUUCUAGCCUGGGUGACAGAGCGAGACUCCGUCUCAAAACAAAACAAAACAACAAAAAUAACAGUGUAUUUGAGGGCACCACUCCAAACCCUACUGGGGAUGAUAGGUUAUGUAAAAUAUUUACAGCAGGUCACCUUUCUGAAAUUGGAAAAAUUCUGAUUCCUGAAACACAUCUGGUCCUAAGGGUUUCACAUAAGGGACUGGGGACAGUGAAUAGUCAUGUUGUGUUAGGGCUCAGACCAAGACACUUCAUGCAUCCUUCACUCUCACCCCGUGUUCCUCAUCUGUAAGACCUCCAGGAGUUGAGAAUUAUGGUAGAUUUACAUUCCAAAGCCUCACUUCUUAUGCUCUUGAAAGUCUUUUUCUUUCUUUUCUCUGGAAAUGGGUAACUUCUUGGUGUGUAACGUUAGUGGGUGCUCAGGAAAUGAUUUUCAACCAACUUCAUUUCUGAACCUUCACUGCUUCCAUUCUUUUCAGGAGCCUACCCUGUCCUAUUCCACUGUAGUCUCCCACUGUGGGAGUUGCCUUGCUAGUUUUCUUUCUGGGGCCACAUGUUUAACCCUUGCACUGAUACUCUUAGCACAGAGUCUUGACCACCUCUUGUGGGAUUGUCCACCCACCUCUGGAUUUUUAUAAUUUUAAUUUUCCCUUUAAAAGCAUUACAAGAGCAUACAUAAGUACAUGGAAGGCAUAGAAAAGGAGGAGGAGAAGAGGAAAGUGUUCAUGGGUAACACUGUUAAUAUUUUGGAAGGUUUCCUGCCAGUCUUUUUUUCCUAUGCCUUUACAAAAGUAGCUGAGCAUAUUCUGUGUGUAAUCCUGUAAUCUGUUUUAAAUUUAACAUUAUUGUAUCAGCAUUUCCCCACAGAAUCAGUAAACGAGCAUAAUAUAAUUCCAUUGUGUGGUCCAUAAUAAUAUUUCAUUGUUUUCCCAUGUGGGGACAUUGAGCUUGGCUUUGUUUUUGUUCGUUGGUUUGCUUGUGUAUUUAUAAUGUUUGAAUAGAUAUUUCUGAGUAUAAAUCUUUGUAUGAAUUUUUGAUCAUUUCCCAAGAUACUUUCCUAAAAUCAGAACUUUGAAGUUAAAUGAGAUGGCACUUUAAUCUUUAUUGAUUACUGAAUGAUUCUUCCAUAAACUUUGUACUGUUUUGCGUAUCCAAUAGUAACAUAGUAACAUUUGAGAGUGCUUCUUUUUUUUUUUUUUUUUUUUUGAGACAAAGUUUCGCUCUUGUUGCCCAGGCUGGAGUACAAUGGCGUGAUCUCAGCUCACCACAACCUCUGCCUCCCGGUUCAAGUGAUUUCUCCUGCCUCAGCCUCCUGAGUAGCUGGGAUUACAGGCAUGCGCCACCACACCUAGCUAAUUUUGUAUUUUUAGUAGAGACGGGGUUUCGCCAUGUUGGUCAGGCUGGUCUCGAACUCCCGAUCUCAGGUGACCUGCCCACCUCAGCCUCCCAAAGUGCUGGGAUUACAGGUGUGAGCCACCGCGCCCAGCUGAGAGUGCUUCUUUACUAUAUCACUGCCUUCUUUUAUGGAUUUUACUAGUUCUAAAAAUAAUUUUCAUUACAGAAAUUUUGGAAAAUACAUCAGUAAAUAGAGUAGAUAAUAAAAAUCACCUGCAGGCCUACUUUCCAGAAGUAACUCUUGUUAUUAACAUUUUGGUUUACUUUUUCCCAGUCCGUCUAUGUGUCUAUUACAGGGAAAGGAUCCCUUAUCCAAAAUGCUGGGGACCAAAAGUGUUUUGGAUUUCGGAUUUUUUUUUUUUUAUUUUGGAAUACUCAUAAAUAUAUAAGAUGAUAAUUUGAGGAUCUGACAAGAAAUUCACUUAUGUUUCAUAUACACCUCAGACAUGUAGCUUGAAGGUCC
RNAcentral lists this small RNA (4044 nucleotides) under Pongo abelii (Sumatran orangutan). Its description in RNAcentral is "retained intron". Lineage: Eukaryota; Metazoa; Chordata; Mammalia; Primates; Hominidae. The record is from RNAcentral.